UGGGGAAUAUUGGACAAUGGGGGGAACCCUGAUCCAGCCAUGCCGCGUGUGUGAAGAAGGCCUUAUGGUUGUAAAGCACUUUAAGCGAGGAGGAGGGUACUGGUAUUAAUACUACCAGGUACUGGACGUUACUCGCAGAAUAAGCACCGGCUAACUCUGUGCCAGCAGCCGCGGUAAUACAGAGGGUGCGAGCGUUAAUCGGAUUUACUGGGCGUAAAGCGUGCGUAGGCGGCUAAUUGAGUCGGAUGUGAAAUCCCCGAGCUUAACUUGGGAAUUGCAUUCGAUACUGGUUAGCUAGAGUGUGGGAGAGGAUGGUUGAAUUCCAGGUGUAGCGGUGAAAUGCGUAGAGAUCUGGAGGAAUACCGAUGGCGAAGGCAGCCAUCUGGCCUAACACUGACGCUGAGGUACGAAAGCAUGGGGAGCAAACAGG
Molecule: ribosomal RNA, 430 nt
Filed under: Pseudomonadota bacterium
Lineage: Bacteria; Pseudomonadati; Pseudomonadota
Description: Proteobacteria bacterium partial 16S ribosomal RNA
Rfam family: Bacterial small subunit ribosomal RNA
Source: RNAcentral